This 34219-nucleotide long non-coding RNA is filed under the name Triticum aestivum (bread wheat). RNAcentral describes it as "long non-coding RNA (TAES_LNC019425)". Lineage: Eukaryota; Viridiplantae; Streptophyta; Magnoliopsida; Poales; Poaceae. The record is from RNAcentral.
GUUUUUUUUUCUUUCGCUAACGGAGCUCACGAGAUUUUCUGUUAAGUUUUGUGUUGUGAAGUUUUCAAGUUUUGGGUAAAAGAUUCGAUGGAUUAUGGAACAAGGAGUGGCAAGAGCCUAAGCUUGGGGAUGCCCAUGGCACCCCAAGAUAAUCUAAGGACACCUAAAAGCCAAAGCUUGGGGAUGCCCCGGAAGGCAUCCCCUCUUUUGUCUACUUCCAUCGGUAACUUUACUUGGAGCUAUAUUUUUAUUCACCACAUGAUAUGUGUUUUGCUUGGAGCGUCUUGUAUGAUUUGAGUCUUUAUUUGUUAGUUUACCACAAUCAUCUUUGCUGUACACACCUUUUGAGAGAGACACACAUGAUUCGGAAAUUGUUAGAAUACUCUAUGUGCUUCACUUAUAUCUUUUGAGUUAUAUAGUUUUUGCUCUAGUGCUUCACUUAUAUCUUUUAGAGCACGGCUGUAGUUUUGUUUUAUAGAAACUAUUGUUCUCUCAUGCUUCACUUAGAUUAUUUUGAGAGUCCUACAAAACAGUAAUUUGCUUUAAUUAUGUUAGGCAUUCAAGAUUAGUAAAAAAAUCUUAUGAGUGUGUUGAAUACUAUGAGAAGUUUGAUACUAGAUAAUCGUUUUGAGAUAUGAAGGGCAUGUUCGGCAACGCUCCAGCUCCUAGAUUCGUCAACUCCAUGCAUGAAGCUGAGCCGAACACUCUACCUCCAGGAAGCUGGAAUAGAGAAGCUGGCGGCCCGUCUUAGUGUAAAAAUGAAGGAGUUGGGGAAGCUGGUGCUUUCCAGAUCCGUGAAAUCAAGGAAGUUGGAGUUGAGGCAAAUUACACCAUGUUGCCACCGCCAAGUGACUUCCAGCGUACCGUUUCGAUUUUCUAUCGCUAACUCUCUCUUGCGCGCGUUGGCUGUUGGUUUGGGCCCAACCUGGCCUGCCAAUCCCUCUAAGUUGGGUUUAUUGCUAAUCAAAUGGCCUGUCAGACACGUGCCUAACCACUGAAACUGGAAGUUGUGUGCCAAACGCUUUCCAUAGCGCCAGCUGAAGUGAGAAGCAAUACGAGAAGUUGAAUCUAGGAAGUUUUGGAGAAGCUGGGCACUCUCAGAACACGCCCGAAGAUGGUGAUAUUAGAGUCAUGCUAUUGAGUAGUUUUGAAUUUGAGAAAUACUUGUGUUAAAGUUUGUGAUUCCCGUAGCAUGCACGUAUGGUGAACCGUUAUGUGAUGAAGUCGGAACAUGAUUUAUUUAUUGAUUGUCUUCCUUAUGAGUGGCGGUCGGGGACGGGCGAUGGUUUUUUUCCUACCAAUCUAUCCCCCUAGGAGCAUGCGCGUAAUACUUUGCUUUGAUAACUUGUAGAUUUUUGCAAUAAGUAUAUGAGUUCUUUAUGACUAAUGUUGAGUCCAUGGAUUAUACGCACUUUCUUCCUUCCACCAUCGCUAGCCUCUCUAGUACCGCGCACUUUUCGCCGGUAUCAUACACCCACCAUAUACCUUCCUCAAAACAGCCACCAUACCUACCUAUCAUGGCAUUUCCAUAGCCAUUCCGAGAUAUAUUGCCAUGCAACUUACCACCGUUCCGUUUAUUAUGACACGCUCCAUCAUUGUCAUAUUGCUUUGCAUGAUCAUGUAGUUGACAUUGUAUUUGUGGCAAAACCACCGUUCAUAACUCUUUCAUACAUGUCACUCUUGAUUCACUGCAUAUCCCGGUAUACCGCCGGAGGCAUUCACAUAGAUUCAUAUUUUGUUCUAAGUAUUGAGUUGUAAUUGUUGAGUUGUAAGUAAAUAAAAGUGUGAUGAUCAUCAUUUUUAGAGCAUUGUCCCAAGUGAGGAAAGGAUGAUGGAGACUAUGAUUCCCCCACAAGUCGGGAUGAGACUCCGGACUAAAUAAAAAAGAAUAAAAAAGAGGCCAUAAAAAAAGAGAAAAGGCCCAAACAAAAAAAUGAGAGAAAAAGAGAGAAGGGACAAUGCUACUAUCCUUUUACCACACUUGUAUUGCGUGAAGAUUGAAAAAGUUUGAGAACACCAAAAGUAUGAAACAAUUGCUUGGCUUGUCAUCGGGGUUGUGCAUGAUUUCAAUACUUUGUGUGGUGAAGAUAGAGCAUAGCCAGACUAUAUGAUUUUGUAGGGAUAACUUUCUUUGGCCAUGUUAUUUUGAGAAGACAUAAUUGCUUAGUUAGUAUGCUUGAAGUAUUAUUACUUUUAUGUCAAUAUUAAACUUUUAUCUUGAAUCUUUCGGAUCUGAAUAUUCAUACCACAAUUAAGAGAAUUACAUUGAAAUUAUGCCAAGUAGCAUUCCACAUCAAAAAUUCUGUUUUUAUCAUUUACCUACUCGAGGACGAGCAGGAAUUAAGCUUGGGGAUGCUUGAUACGUCUCCAACGUAUCUAUAAUUUUUUAUUGCUCCAUGCUAUAUUAUAUUCUGUUUCGGACAUUAUUGGGCUUUACUAUACACUUUUAUAUUAUUUUUGGACUAACCUAUUAACCGGAGGCCCAGCCCAGAAUUGCUGUUUUUUGCCUAUUUCGGAGUUUCGCAGAAAAAGAAUAUCAAACGGAGUCCAAAUGGAAUGAAACGUUCGGGAACAUGAUUUUCGGAACGAACGUGAUCCAGAGGACUUGGACCCUACGUCAAGCCAGGAAGGCACGAGGUAGGGGGGCACGCCUACCCCCCUGGGCGCGCCCUCCACCCUCGUGGGCCCCACGUUGCUCCACCGACGUACUUCUUCCUCCUAUAUAUAUACCUACGUACCCCCAAACUACUAGAUACGGAGCCAAAAACCUAAUUCCACCGCCGCAACCUUCUGUACCCGUGAGAUCCCAUCUUGGGGCCUUUUCCGGAGCUCCGCCGGAGGGGGCAUCGAUCACAGAGGGCUUCUACAUCAACACCAUAGCCUCUCCGAUGAUGUGUGAGUAGUUUACCUCAGACCUUCGGGUCCAUAGUUAUUAGCUAGAUGGCUUCUUCUCUCUUUUUGGAUCUCAACACAAUGUUCUCCCCCCUCUUGUGGAGAUCUAUUCGAUGUAAUCUUCUUUUGCGGUGUGUUUGUUGAGACCGAUGAAUUGUGGGUUUAUGAUCAAGUUUAUCUAUGAACAAUAUUUGAAUCUUCUCUGAAUUCUUUUAUGUAUGAUUGGUUAUCUUUACAAGUCUCUUCGAAUUAUCAAUUUGGUUUGGCCUACUAGAUUGAUCUUUCUUGCAAUGGGAGAAGUGCUUAGCUUUGGGUUCAAUCUUGCGGUGUCCUUUUCCAGUGACAGUAGGGGCAGCAAGGCACGUAUUGUAUUGUUGCCAUCGAGGAUAACAAGAUGGGGUUUAUAUCAUAUUGCAUGAGUUUAUCCCUCUACAUCAUGUCAUCUUACUUAAAGCGUUACUCUGUUCUUUUGAACUUAAUACUCUAGAUGCAUGCUAGAUAGCGGUCGAUGUGUGGAGUAAUAGUAGUAGAUGCAGGCAGGAGUCGGUCUACUUGUCUCGGACGUGAUGCCUAUAUACAUGAUCAUGCCUAGAUAUUCUCGUAACUAUGCGCAAUUCUAUCAAUUGCUCAACAGUAAUUUGUUCACCCACCGUAAUACUUAUGCUCAUGAGAGAAGCCACUAGUGAAACCUAUGGCCCCCGGGUCUAUUUUCUAUCAUAAUAAUCUUUCAGCACUUAGUUAUUUCUGGCGUCGUCUUUAUUUUGCUUUCUUUACUUUGCAUCUUUAUCAUAAAAAUACCAAAAAUACAAUCUUAUCAUAUCUAUCAGAUCUCACUCUCGUAAGUGACCGUGAAGGGAUUGACAACCCCUUUAUUGCGUUGGUUGCGAGGAUUUAUUUGUUUGUGUAGGUGCGAGGGACUCGUGUGUGGCCUCCUACUGGAUUGAUACCUUGGUUCUCAAAAACUGAGGGAAAUACUUACGCUACUUUGCUGCAUCACCCUUUCCUCUUCAAGGGAAAACCAACGCAGUGCUCAAGAAGUAGCAGCAUGCCAUGCCCGGAGCCAGGCCGACCGAGGGGGUGAGCUCGCCUUCAUGGAGCCUCGAAUCUGCGGCUUGUCCAUGGAAGUUCAACUACGGGACCAUCACGUUUCAUCCACUGCCACUCGCGAUUCCCACGAUGCCACUCCAACCCACGGCACCACGUCCCCCGACGUGCGCCUCACCCCUCUCGGCUGCACCGCCCCUGUGCCUUUGUGUGCAUGACAUGUGGGUCACCUUAAAUGCGGCGAGCAUCAAGUUUCUACCACAGCCAUACACGAUUCCCACGAUUCCCACGACGCCGCACGAACCCAUGACACCACACGUCCCGCACCAUCGAAUUUUCAUCCAGCGGCUAUGACACAUUUCGUCCCGGGCAUCAAUCCUCAACUGGAGUACUUCUGUACUACAGGUAGUACCCGCCGGUGUGGCCAUCUACGCUUCGUAACGCCCCGACGCCCAGUUGUGGCACCCUCGCCACGGCCACGCCACCACCGGCCGGUUCAUCUCGAACGAGUGAGUCACGAACCACACCACCACCAUGAGAAUGACAUGUGGGCCAGCCGCAUUUAAGGUCCGCAUGUCAUUGACUCAUAGGCCGGGCACUAAGCCACUGAAGUUCGGUCCCGUGGGCCCCGAGACGGAAAUGUAACUCCUGUGGCAGGCCUUGUGGUGCUCCCGCAGUACGAGCUCGUGCCAAACCCGGAAUUUGUUUCUUACUACUACCAACUACUAGUAAGGUACACGUGCAUUGCACGCAUGAGAUUCUGGUGGUUUGUGCAUUAUGCUUCUACAUGUGGAGUCUUCUAGAUUCUACAUGUGGCAAAAUCUGGUGGAAUGUAGGUGAUAUCCAACGGCCAGUAGUGCUCGGAUUUGCCAUCUUUGUACCGUCGGAUUGGCUUCAUCCAACGACCAACUUUCAAAGUUAUGGUUUGGUUUGCAGCCUAAGGUUGCCACGCCUAAGCUUAGGCGUGCUGGCAUGUGUUUGGUUCAUUGCUACACUUGUGGCUUGCCACACUUUUCUAGCUACAUGGUCCACAUGUCAUAGACUCAACUUCUUGCCAAAUCUUGCCACACUUGUGGUGGCCAUUUUGUUAGCCACAUUUUUUGUGGCAGACACACUUUGCCUAAGCUUAGUUGUGGAAAAGUUAGUCAUGAAUGAAGUUCAACCAUGGAGUCUUCUAGAUUCUACAUGUGGCAGAAUCUGGUGGAAUGUAGAUGAUAUCCAACGGCCAGUAGUGCUCGGAUUUGCCAUCUUUGUAUCGUCGGAUUGGCUUCAUCCAACGACCAACUUUCAAAGUUAUGGUUUGGUUUGCAGCCUAACGUUGCCACGCCUAAGCUUAGGCGUGCCACAAGUGUGUUUGGUUGUGUUCUCGUCUCAGCAUAGUUGUUCCCUCUUCAUGCAUGCUCAACUCAACACCCCUCUUCAUGUAUGCUCUCUUCAUGCAUGCUUCUAGUGUAUUUGUGCUAAUCUAGUGUGGACUCGUGCACCCUCCAUACACUCUACCAAACACCCAAAAAUGGGUCGAGAAGGGAACUCUUGGGAUCAUGCACCCUUCAUACACCCUACCGAACACACCAGUCAUGUGUUUGGUUCAUUGCUACACUUGUGUCUUGCCACACUUUUCUAGCUACAUGGUCCACAUGUCAUAGACUCAACUUCUUGCCAAAUCUUGCCACACUUGUGGUGGCCAUUUUGUUAGCCACGUUUUUUGUUUCAAACGCACUUUGCCUAAGCUUAGUUGUGGCAAAGUUAGUCAUGAAUGAAGUUCAACCAUGGAGUCUUCUAGAUUCUACAUGUGGCAGAAUCUGGUGGAAUGUAGAUGAUAUCCAACGGCCAGUAGUGCUCAGAUUUGCCAUCUUUGUACCGUCGGAUUGGCUUCAUCCAACGACCAACUUUUAAAGUUAUUCCCACACUAUAUAGGGGGUAUAGAUAUAGAUGUGCCGGCCCGUUGCAAUGGAUCCAAAGUAUAUAUGUUUAGUGGAGUGCACUCUAAACACAUUAUCUAUUUAUUUUUCUCUAACCUUUCGUAGCCAUGCAACCAAGCCACAUAAGCUUCAUGGGUGCCCCCCACAUCAUAUUAUUCAUACUACAUUGACAGAAGAAAGAUAAAUCACCCAAAACAAGAUCUUCCUGUUUUUUGUUCCUACGAUGUUGUGCCGUGCACGUACCUACUAGUUGUAUAGUGGUAGUACUAGUUGUAUAGUACAAACUGUUGGAAAUAUGCCCUAGAGGCAAUAAUAAAUGGUUAUUAUUAUAUUUCUUUGUUCAUGAUAAUUGUCUAUUGUUCAUGCUAUAACUGUGUUAUCCGGAAAUCAUAAUACAUGUGUGAAUACAUAUACCACAACGUGUCCCUAGUAAGCCUCUAGUUGACUAGCUCGUUGAUCAACAAAUAGUCAUGGUUUCCUGACUAUGGACAUUGGAUGUCAUUGAUAACGGGAUCACAUCAUUAGGAGAAUGAUGUGAUGGACAAGACCCAAUCCUAAGCAUAGCACAAAAGAUCGUGUAGUUCGUUGGCUAGAGCUUUUCCAAUGUCAAGUAUCAUUUCCUUAGACCAUGAGAUCGUGCAACUCCCGGAUACCGUAGGAGUGCUUUGGGUGUGCCAAACGUCACAACGUAACUGGGUGACUAUAAAGGUACACUACGGGUAUCUCCGAAAGUGUCUGUUGAGUUGGCACGGAUCGAGACUAGGAUUUGUCACUCCGUAUGACGGAGAGGUAUCUCUGGGCCCACUCGGUAAUGCAUCAUCAUAAUGAGCUCAAUGUGACUAAAGGAUUUAGCCACGGGAUCAUGCAUUACGGUACGAGUAAAGUGACUUGCCGUAACGAGAUUGAACAAGGUAUUGGGAUACCGACGAUCGAAUCUCGGGCAAGUAACGUACCGAUUGACAAAGGGAAUUGUAUACGGGAUUGAUUGAAUCCUUGACAUCAUGAUUCAUCCGAUGAGAUCAUCGUGGAACAUGUGGGAGCCAACAUGGGUAUCCAGAUCCCGCUGUUGGUUAUUGACCGGAGAGGCGUCUCGGUCAUGUCUGCAUGUCUCCCGAACCCGUAGGGUCUACACACUUAAGGUUCGGUGACGCUAGGGUUGUAGAGAUAUUAGUAUGCGGAAACCCGAAAGUUGUUCGGAGUCCCGGAUGAGAUCCCAGACGUCACGAGGAUUUCCGGAAUGGUCCGGAGGUGAAGAAUUAUAUAUAGGAAGUCCAGUUUCGGCCACCGGGAAAGUUUCGGGGGUUAUCGGUAUUGUACCGGGACCACCGGAAGGGUCCCGGGGGUCCACCGGGUGGGGCCACCUAUCUCAGAGGGCCCCAUGGGCUGAAGUGGGAAGGGAACCAGCCCUUAGUGGGCUGGGGCGCCCCCCAUGGGCCUCCCCCUGCGCCUAGGUUUGGAAACCCUGGGGUGGGGGCGCCUCACUUGACUUGGGGGGAAAGUUUCCCCCCUGGCCGCCGCCCCCCUUGUAGAUGGGUUCCAGGGACGGCGCCCCCCUCCAGGGGGCCUAUAUAAAGGGGGGAGGGAGGGCUGCUGUACCCUACCCUUGGCGCCUCCCUCUCCCCCUGCAACACCUCUCCCUCCCGCUUGCGCUUGGCGAAGCCCUGCCGGGAUCCCGCUACUUCCACCACCACGCCGUCGUGCUGCUGGAUCUCCAUCAACCUCUCCUUCCCCCUUGCUGGAUCAAGAAGGAGGAGACGUCGCUGAUCCGUACGUGUGUUGAACGCGGAGGUGCCGUCCGUUCGGCACUCGGUCAUCGGUGAUUUGGAGCACGGCGAGUACGACUCCAUCAACCCCGUUCAUUAGAACGCUUCCGCUCGCGAUCUACAAGGGUAUGUAGAUGCACUCCUUUCCCCUCGUUGCUAGUAUACUCCAUAGAUGGAUCUUGGUGAUGUGUAGGAAAUUUUAAAAUUCUGCUACGAUCCCCAACAGUGGCAUCAUGAGCCAGGCCUAUGCGUAGUUACUAUGCACGAGUAGAACACAAAGCAGUUGUGGGCGUAGAUGUUGCCAAUUCUUCUUGCCGCUACUAGUCUUAUCUUGUUUCGGCGGUAUUGUGGGAUGAAGCGGCCCGGACCGACCUUACACGUACGCUUACGUGAGACAGGUUCCACCGACUGACAUGCACUAGUUGCAUAAGGUGGCUAGCGGGUGUUUGUCUCUCCCACUUUAGUCGGAACGGAUUCGAUGAAAAGGGUCCUUAUGAAGGGUAAAUAGAAAUUGGCAUAUCACGUUGUGGUUUUACAUAGGUAAGAAACGUUCUUGCUAGAAACCUAUACAAGCCACGUAAAAACUUGCAACAACAAUUAGAGGACGUCUAACUUGUUUUUGCAGCAUGUGCCUUGUGAUGUGAUAUGGCCAGAAGAUGUGAUGAAUGAUAUAUGUGAUGUAUGAGAUUGAUCAUAUUCUUGUAAUAGGAAUCACGACUUGCAUGUCGAUGAGUAUGACAACCGGCAGGAGCCAUAGGAGUUGUCUUUAUUUUUUUGUAUGACCUGCGUGUCAUUGAAUAAUGCCAUGUAAAUUACUUUACUUUAUUGCUAAACGCGUUAGCCAUAGAAGUAGAAGUAAUCGUUGGCGUGACAACUUCAUGAAGACACAAUGAUGGAGAUCAUGAUGAUGGAGAUCAUGAUGAUGGAGAUCAUGGUGUCAUGCCGGUGACGAAGAUGAUCAUGGUGCCCCGAAGAUAGAGAUCAAAGGAGCAAAAUGAUAAUGGCCAUAUCAUGUCACUAUUUGAUUGCAUGUGAUGUUUAUCAUGUUUUGCAUCUUAUUUGCUUAGAACGACGGUAGUAAGUAAGAUGAUCCCUUAUAAUAAUUUCAAGAAAGUGUUCCCCCUAACUGUGCACCGUUGCGAAGGUUCGUUGUUUCGAAGCACCACGUGAUGAUCGGGUGUGAUAGAUUCUAACGUUCGCAUACAACGGGUGUUGACGAGCCUAGCAUGUACAGACAUGGCCUCGGAACACACGCAAUACACUUAGGUUGACUUGACGAGCCUAGCAUGUACAGACAUGGCCUCGGAACACGGAAGACCGAAAGGUCGAGCAUGAGUCGUAUAGAAGAUACGAUCAACAUGGAGAUGUUCACCGAUCUUGACUAGUCUGUCUCACGUGAUGAUCGGACACGGCCUAGUUAACUCGGAUCAUGUUUCACUUAGAUGACUAGAGGGAUGUCUAUCUAAGUGGGAGUUCAUUGAGUAAUUUGAUUAGAUGAACUUAAUUAUCAUGAACUUAGUCUAAAAUCUUUACAAUAUGUCUUGUAGAUCAAAUGGCCCACGUUGUCCUCAACUUCAACGCGUUCCUAGAGAAAACCAAGCUGAAAGAUGAUGGCAGCAACUAUACGGACUGGGUCCGGAACCUGAGGAUCAUCCUCAUAGCUGCCAAGAAAGAUUAUGUCCUAGAAGCACCGCUAGGUGAAGCACCCAUCCCAGACAACCAAGACGUUAUGAACGCUUGGCAAUCAUGUGCUGAUGAUUACUCCCUCGUUCAGUGCGGCAUGCUUUACAGCUUAGAACCGGGGCUCCAAAAGCGUUUUGAGAAACAUGGAGCAUAUGAGAUGUUCGAAGAGCUGAAAAUGGUUUUCCAAGCUCAUGCCCGGGUCGAGAGAUAUGAAGUCUCCGACAAGUUCUUCAGCUGUAAAAUGGAGGAAAAUAGUUCUGUUAGUGAGCACAUACUCAGAAUGUCUGGGUUACACAACCGCUUGUCUCAGCUGGGAGUUAAUCUCCUGGAUGACGCGGUCAUUGACAGAAUCCUUCAGUCGCUUCCACCGAGCUACAAGAGCUUUGUGAUGAACUUCAAUAUGCAGGGGAUGGAAAAGACCAUUCCUGAGGUAUAUUCAAUGCUGAAAUCAGCGGAGGUGGAGAUCAGAAAGGAACAUCAAGUGUUGAUGGUGAAUAAAACCACUAAGUUCAAGAAAGGCAAGGGUAAGAAGAACUUCAAGAAGGACGGCAAGGGAGUUGCCGCGCCCGGUAAGCCAGUUGCCAGGAAGAAGUCGAAGAAUGGACCCAAGCCUGAGACUGAGUGCUUUUAUUGCAAGGGAAGUGGUCACUGGAAGCGGAACUGCCCCAAAUACUUAGCGGACAAGAAGGCCGGCAACACCAAAGGUAUAUGUGAUAUACAUGUAAUUGAUGUGUACCUUACCAGUACUCGUAGUAGCUCCUGGGUAUUUGAUACCGGUGCGGUUGCUCAUAUUUGUAACUCAAAACAGGAACUGCGGAAUAAGCGGAGACUGGCAAAGGACGAGGUGACGAUGCGCGUCGGGAAUGGUUCCAAGGUCGAUGUGAUCGCCGUCGGCACGCUACCUCUACAUUUACCUACGGGAUUAGUUUUAAACCUCAAUAAUUGUUAUUUAGUGCCAGCUUUGAGCAUGAACAUUGUAUCUGGAUCUCGUUUAAUUCGAGAUGGCUACUCAUUUAAAUCCGAGAAUAAUUGUUGUUCUAUUUAUAUGAGAGAUAUGUUUUAUGGUCAUGCCCCGCUGGUCAAUGGUUUAUUCUUGAUGAAUCUCGAACGUGAUGUUACACAUAUUCAUAGUGUGAAUACCAAAAGAUGUAAAGUUGAUAACGAUAGUCCCACAUACUUGUGGCACUGCCGCCUUGGUCACAUUGGUGUCAAGCGCAUUAAGAAGCUCCAUGCAGAUGGACUUUUGGAGUUUCUUGAUUACGAAUCAUUUGACACGUGCGAACCAUGCCUCAUGGGUAAGAUGACCAAAAUUCUGUUCUCCGGAACAAUGGAGCGAGCAACCAAUUUAUUGGAAAUCAUACAUACCGAUGUGUGCGGUCCAAUGAGUGUUGAGGCUCGCGGAGGAUAUCGUUAUGUUCUCACUCUCACUGAUGACUUAAGUAGAUAUGGAUAUGUCUACCUAAUGAAACACAAGUCUGAAACCUUUGAAAAGUUCAAGGAAUUUCAGAGUGAGGUUGAGAAUCAACGUGACAGGAAAAUAAAGUUCUUACGAUCAGAUCGUGGUGGAGAAUAUUUAAGUCACGAAUUUGGUACGCACUUAAGGAAAUGUGGAAUCGUUUCACAACUCACGCCGCCUGGAACACCUCAGCGAAACGGUGUGUCCGAACAUCGUAAUCGCACUCUAUUGGAUAUGGUGCGAUCUAUGAUGUCUCUUACCGAUCUACCGCUCUCAUUUUGGGGCUAUGCUUUAGAGACUGCCGCAUUCACUUUAAAUAGGGCUCCGUCGAAAUCCGUUGAGACGACACCGUAUGAAUUAUGGUUUGGGAAGAAACCUAAGCUGUCGUUUCUAAAAGUUUGGGGAUGCGAUGCUUAUGUCAAGAAACUUCAACCUGAAAAGCUCGAACCCAAGUCGGAAAAAUGCGUCUUCAUAGGAUACCCUAAGGAAACCAUUGGGUAUACCUUCUACCUCAGAUCCGAAGGCAAGAUCUUUGUUGCCAAGAAUGGGUCCUUUCUGGAGAAAGAGUUUCUCUCAAAAGAAUUAAGUGGGAGGGAAGUGGAACUUGAUGAGGUGAUAGUCACCCCUUCUGAACCGGAAAGUAGCGCAGCGCGGGAAGAUGUUCCUGUGGUGCCUACACCGACUGGGGAGGAAGUUAAUGAUGAUGAUCAUGAAGCUUCAGAUCAAGUUACUGCUGAACUUCGUAGGUCCACAAGGACACGUUCCGCACCAGAGUGGUACGGCAACCCUGUCCUGGAAAUCAUGUUGUUAGACAAUGGUGAACCUUCGAACUAUGAAGAAGCGAUGGCGGGCCCGGAUUCCGACAAAUGGCUAGAAGCCAUGAAAUCCGAGAUAGGAUCCAUGUAUGAAAACGAAGUAUGGACUUUGACUGACUUGCCCGAUGAUCGGCGAGCCAUAGAAAAUAAAUGGAUCUUUAAGAAGAAGACAGACGCGGAUGGUAAUGUGACCAUCUAUAAGGCUCGACUUGUCGCUAAGGGUUAUCGACAAGUUCAAGGGGUUGACUACGAUGAGACUUUCUCACCCGUAGCGAAGUUGAAGUCCGUCCGAAUCAUGUUAGCAAUUGCCGCAUUCUAUGAUUAUGAGAUAUGGCAAAUGGACGUCAAAACGGCAUUCCUUAAUGGCUUUCUUAAGGAAGAAUUGUAUAUGAUGCAGCCGGAAGGUUUUGUCGAUCCUAAGAAUGCUAACAAGGUAUGCAAGCUCCAGCGCUCCAUCUAUGGGCUGGUGCAAACAUCUCGGAGUUGGAACAUUCGUUUUGAUGAGAUGAUCAAAGCGUUUGGGUUUACACAGACUUAUGGAGAAGCCUGUGUUUACAAGAAAGUGAGUGGGAGCUCUGUAGCAUUUCUCUUAUUAUAUGUGGAUGACAUACUAUUGAUGGGAAAUGAUAUAGAAUUCUUGGAAAGUAUAAAGGCCUAUUUGAAUAAGUGUUUUUCAAUGAAGGACCUUGGAGAAGCUGCUUAUAUAUUAGGCAUCAAGAUCUAUAGAGAUAGAUCAAGACGCCUCAUUGGUCUUUCACAGAGUACGUACCUUGACAAGAUAUUGAAGAAGUUCAAUAUGGAUCAGUCCAAGAAGGGGUUCUUGUCUGUAUUGCAAGGUGUGCAAUUGAGCACGGCUCAAUGCCCGACCACGGCAGAAGAUAGAGAAAAGAUGAGUGUCAUCCCCUAUGCCUCGUCCAUAGGGACUAUUAUGUAUGCCAUGUUGUGUACCAGACCUGAUGUAAACCUUGCCGUAAGUUUGGUAGGAAGGUACUAAAGUAAUCCCGGCAUGGAACACUGGACAGCGGUCAAGAAUAUCCUGAAGUACCUGAAGAGGACUAAGGAUAUGUUUCUCGUUUAUGGAGGUGACGAAGAGCUCGUCAUAAAGGGUUACGUCGAUGCUAGCUUCGACACAGAUCUGGAUGACUCGAAGUCACAAACCGGAUACGUGUAUAUUUUGAAUGGAGGGGCAGUAAGCUGGUGCAGUUGCAAGCAAAGCGUCGUGGCGGGAUCUACAUGUGAAGCGGAGUACAUGGCAGCCUCAGAGGCAGCGCAAGAAGCAAUCUGGAUGAAGGAGUUCAUUACCGACCUAGGGGUGAUUCCCAAUGCGUCGGGCCCGAUGACUCUCCUCUGUGACAACACUGGAGCUAUUGCCCUUGCCAAGGAGCCCAGGUUUCACAGGAAGACCAGGCAUAUCAAGCGUCGCUUCAACUCCAUUCGUGAAAGUGUUCAAAAUGGAGACAUAGAUAUUUGUAAAGUACAUAUGGACCUGAAUGUAGCAGAUUCGUUGACUAAACCUCUCCCUAGAGCAAAACAUGAUCAACACCAGGACGCUAUGGGUGUUCGAUUCAUCACAAUGUAACUAGAUUAUUGACUCUAGUGCAAGUGGGAGACUAUUGGAAAUAUGCCCUAGAGGCAAUAAUAAAUGGUUAUUAUUAUAUUUCUUUGUUCAUGAUAAUUGCCUAUUGUUCAUGCUAUAACUGUGUUAUCCGGAAAUCAUAAUACAUGUGUGAAUACAUAGACCACAACAUGUCCCUAGUAAGCCUCUAAUUGACUAGCUCGUUGAUCAACAGAUAGUCAUGGUUUCCUGACUAUGGACAUUGGAUGUCAUUGAUAACGGGAUCACAUCAUUAGGAGAAUGAUGUGAUGGACAAGACCCAAUCCUAAGCAUAGCACAAAAGAUCGUGUAGUUCGUUUGCUAGAGCUUUUCCAAUGUCAAGUAUCAUUUCCUUAGACCAUGAGAUCAUGCAACUCCCGGAUACCGUAGGAGUGCUUUGGGUGUGCCAAACGUCACAACGUAACUGGGUGACUAUAAAGGUACACUACGGGUAUCUCCGAAAGUGUCUGUUGAGUUGGCACGGAUCGAGACUGGAUUUGUCACUCCGUAUGACGGAGAGGUAUCUCUGGGCCCACUCCGUAAUGCAUCAUCAUAAUGAGCUCAAUGUGACUAAAGUAGUUAGCCACAAGAUCAUGCAUUACGGUACGAGUAAAGUGACUUGCCGGUAACUAGAUUGAACAAGGUAUUGGGAUACCGACGAUCGAAUCUCGGGCAAGUAACGUACCGAUUGACAAAGGGAAUUGUAUACGAGAUUGAUUGAAUCCUCGACAUCGUGGUUCAUCCGAUGAGAUCAUCGUGGAACAUGUGGGAGCCAACAUGGGUAUCCAGAUCCCGCUGUUGGUUAUUGACCGAAGAGGCGUCUCGGUCAUGUCUGCAUGUCUCCCGAACCCGUAGGGUCUACACACUUAAGGUUCGGUGACGCUAGGGUUGUAGAGAUAUUAGUAUGCGGAAACCCGAAAGUUGUUCGGAGUUCCGGAUGAGAUCCCGGACGUCACGAGGAGUUCCGGAAUGGUCCGGAGGUGAAGAAUUAUAUAUAGGAAGUCCAGUUUCGGCCACCGGGAAAGUUUUGGGGGUUAUCUGUAUUGUACCGGGACCACCGGAAGGGUCCCGGGGGUCCACCGGGUGGGGCCACCUAUCCCGGAGGGCCCCAUGGGCUGAAUUGGGAGGGGAACCAGCCCUUAGUGGGCUGGGGCGCCCCCCAUGGGCCUCCCCCUGCGCCUAGGGUUGGAAACCCUGGGGUGGGGGCGCCCCACUUGACUUGGGGGGAAAGUUUCCCCCCUGGCCGCCGCCCCCCUUGUAGAUGGGUUCCAGGGCCGGCGCCCCCCCUCCAGGGGCCUAUAUAAAGGGGGGAGGGAGGGCUGCUGUACCCUAACCCUUGGCGCCUCCCUCUCCCCCUGCAACACCUCUCCCUCCCGCUUGCGCUUGGCGAAGCCCUGCCGGGAUCCCGCUACUUCCACCACCACGCCGUCGUGCUGCUGGAUCUCCAUCAACCUCUCCUUCCCCCUUGCUGGAUCAAGAAGGAGGAGACGUCGCUGCUCCGUACGUGUGUUGAACGCGGAGGUUCCGUCCGUUCGGCACUCGGUCAUCGGUGAUUUGGAUCACGGCGAGUACGACUCCAUCAACCUCGUUCAUUAGAACGCUUCCGCUCGCGAUCUACAAGGGUAUGUAGAUGCACUCCUUUCCCCUCGUUGCUAGUAUACUCCAUAGAUGGAUCUUGGUGAUGCAUAGGAAAUUUUAAAAUUCUGCUACGAUCCCCAACACAAACUUGGUACUAGUAGGAGCAGAGUAGUACGGAAUGCUCCUACUCUAUCAACGAGCCCCAUCUGACACCAAAUUUCUUGGCUUCCGUGCUACAGCUAGAUCUUCCCCUCGUUUCUGUUUUCCAACCCGGCGGCGGGCAGGGUGCAGUUUGCCAAUAGUCGGUUUGCUCAACGGCGGUCCCACAUGAAAGUGAAAAUGCUAGGCAACACGCCUUCCCUAAGCUAUGUGUCGUGCCGGACGGGCCGUCGAGUACUCCCGAUUCCCGGCAUGUGUGGGGGGAGUGCGACGCAAACGUGGCAGGCCUUUUCCUUUUACUAGCAAUGUGCCCGUGCGUUGCGACGGAUCCAAAGUAGUAGAAUAGUAGUACUUGUUCACAAACUUGAAAGAAAUCACUCUUGUUUUGAUAUACUCCUAAUAUAUUACUCCCUCCGUUCCUAAAUAUUUGGGUUUUUAGAGAUUUCAAAUGGACUAUCACAUACAGAUUAUAUAGACAUAUUUUGAAGUGUAGAUUCACUCAUUUUGCUCCGUAUGUAGUCACUUAUUGAAAUCUCUAGAAAGACAAAUAUUUAGGAAUGGAGGGAGUACUUUUCACUCAAAAUAUAUUUCUCAGGCUGUUUUGAUGAGGUGAGGGAGGGAUGUGGUUGCUUUCAAGUUAAUAAGGGGUUUUCUGCAAAUUGGAGCAGAGAAGUGGGCUAUUGUUGCAAAAAUGCCACAACUUACCUCACAGCCGUUAGAUGCAGAUCUAAUGGUCAGAAACGACGGAUGGCAGACACACCACCAUCACCAACUGAGUCUUUUAUAGGAGUAUAUAUUUCUCAGGCUGUUUUGAUGAGGUGAGGGAGGGAUGUGGUUGCUUUCAAGAUAAUAAGGGGUUUUCUACAAAUUGGAGCAGAGAAGUGGGCUAUUGUUGCAAAAAUGCCACAACUUACCUCACAGCCGUUAGAUGCAGAUCUAAUGGUCAGAAACGACAGAUGGCAGACACACCACCAUCACCAACUAAGUCUUUUAUAGGAGUAGGAGUAGAGAAACAUGUAUAAAUUGUAACAUUUUGGUUCUGCUCCUUGGCACGAUCGAUAGAUAGAAAUAACGAUUGGAAACGCUAGGGCGGGGCUAUUUCCGCCAGAUAAGCAGGGUACGUAGUAGCUAGGUUGGCGCAUCAUCGGUUUGGUCACACGCGGUCCGACAUGUUCUAGUGUUUCUAGCAAGAUGCCCGCGCAUUGCACGAAGUUGAUGGAAAAGGUAAGCACAACUUAUAAAUUGACGGAUGGAGUACUAGUUACAGUGAUGCAUAUAAUUAAGCAAAGGAAUCGCACAUGUCGGUAUUGACUGGAACGAGAAUACAACACCACAAUAAGAAUUAAGGCCACGAUGAUGAUGCGAUCGCAGUGGUGGUUACAGAAGGCAAGAAGAAAGAUGCAUCCAUCAACGUACAACCUCCUCCUCCUCAACUUAGUGCGCCGGGCCACCGACCGGCGGCUAAGGAGCGGCGGCUUUUGUGGCGAGGUCGAGGUGCUUCUCAGCAAAGGCAUCCAAGGCUUCCAGCCGGUUGAGGAAGGCCAACGUCGUAGCGUCCUCACUGGCCUUGUAGAUACCAAUGUACACGAUUUGCUCGUACACGUGGAUGUGUAGGUCGACGAAUUCUUGCAUGGCGAGGCGCCUCGCGGCGAGCACGACCACCAGGUGGACAUCCUUCAUGGCGUCGGCGGGCAAUCGCAGGGCCACCAGUGCUUGAAAGAGGUUCCGGCCAUGGAGGCCGAUUAGGGUGGCAGGCAAUGAGGAGCCCGGGCGCGCGGGCUGGAGGAGUACGGCGAUGUCGUCCGCGAGCUUCUUGAGGACGGUGAACUUGUUGGUGGUGGCAACGAUCAUCUGGUCCAACUGAGAGUCAUAGUUGGCGUCGAUGGCGGCCAUCCACCAGCCGGUCUCUAACACCGUCUGGAGACGAUCCUCGGCGCCAUGCCACAGGCCGACGUCGUGGACCAUCUGGCACAGCCGCUGGCCGCUCGCGCGCAUCGCCGCCAUGGGUCUGGAGUGAGCUCUUUUGCGCUUAGUGUAGGUUCUUAGGCAAAUGCUUAGGUGCGUAUGAUGUGGAGAUGCAUUGGAAUGGAGGGACGCCUUUAUAUGAGGGCAAACUGCGUUGCAUUCACAUUGUGCAGCCUCUUUUCCUGGUCCUCCUCCCAUUACUUCCCUCAUGCAUUAAUUGAAGGGGGAUGCAUUGGCCGUUCAACAUUUCGGGAACCGCUACUCCCUCGCUCGUCUGCAUUAAAUUCGUAUCGGGAACUGCGCCGCCCGCUGUCAAAUCAAAUAGUACUGCGCCGCCCGCUGCACGCCCGGCUGAACACGCCUCCUCGCCUCCAUCAAACCCCUCAGUUAAACCCGCAUGCAAACCGAGAAACCUACUCCGGCCACACGUCCGUUCAUGAGCGGGCCGGAAUUAAACGCAACAUCGGCCGAGCUCCUCCCGUCCGCCCUCAGUUUAAACGAGGCCAGACGCCGGCCAAGCUCCUACCGUCCGCCCUCUAUUUACACGAGGCCAUACAGACAGCGGGCAAGAAUCGCACCCCUCCGCCACUCCCCCAUCUCCGCCUUCACCAUUUUCUCCACUCUUCCGAUGGCUUCCGAGGAGCCGUUCUCCGGCAUAUUACCCUGCUGGGUGGCCCGCCGAGCCCACCGGAUACGGGCGAGGCCACUCGGUGCUUCACCAACCUCGCUUGGCCCAACGGAGCCAGUUGCCGCCCCAAGCAGGCGCGUGGUUCAGCAACUUGCCGCUCUAGUUCAGCUCGAUGAGGAGUGGCGAGUUGCUCCACGCCGGCACGGCGACGAGCACACCGGUACGGGCAUCGCCGCUGUCGCGUCGUACCACGCCUCACGUGUCUGUGGGCGCGCCUCCCGUGCCUGUGGCAGCGCCAUGCAGGCAGACACAGAAGCCGGGUGCAUGGACAGCGACGAGUCGGUGGCCAGCUUCUCCGUGUCCGCCGCCAUCAUCGAGGAUAAGUAGAACACGGGAGACCGCCGCCACUUGGGUCCCAUGAAGGCCACCGCCGAGGCGACGACUACGCAUUCAGGUGGUUUCUUUGCUUCUUCGUCUCUUCCGAGGACCUUCGUCGACCCCGCAAAGUGUCUGCCGGACAUGAGGAAGACAAAGGGAUCCACGGGCGGCCAUUUAGAUUAUGUACUCCCUCUCCAGCUGGUGGGAAAUUUUUGUUCUAAGAAUGGAUAAAUUGUAUGUAUCUAUAACUAAAAUAAGUCUAGAUACAUCCAUUUCUAGGACAAGUAUUUCCGGACGGAUGGAGUAUUAAUUAUACCAAGAUAGCCGGAUUGGCACCGCUUAGUUCAUGUAAAUGUAAUGAAAUCCAUCAUGUUUAUAUGAAGAUCCGGCUUUUUUAUACGAAAUCCUUCAUACUUAUAUGUAAUCAGUCCGUGUUUGCAUGAAUUUCAUCUGGUUGGUUAGAGUUGUGAAAAUGUAUGCCGCUGGCAUUUGAUGUCGUCCUCCGCGGAAGGAAACGGGAGGAAAUUUGCCGGCUGCCGUUGGAGAUGCUCUUAUGCUGUAAAUAAUAGAGUGACAUCCAAUCCAUUUGAGUUAAUUGAGUGUAUGAGUGUCCCUCUAUAAAAAGUUAAUUGCAUGUACAGUGUAUAGGUGACUUGCAGGGUGGCUACAGCUUCGUACAGAAAGUUAAAAAGAAACAAGUCCAUCCUUAAUCUUGUAUUCUAAGUACUCUGUGGGUUCCACUGUCAGUACAGUAGCGAAAGAAGUAUAUAUUAAAUAAGUAAUAUAUAAUAUAAAACUCUAAAGUUAAAGACAUAAUUCAAACUCAUGUCAUCACGUUGCGAGCAUCCGGCGCUAACCAGUCCAGCACAUUUUUGUUGUAGACCAUGCUGCUGAUAUAUCUCCAUGUCUACUCUUAUACUCCAUCCGUUCCUAAAUAUUUGUCUUUUUCAGAUUUCAAAUGGACUACCACAUAUGGAUGUGUAUGUAGACAUAUUUUAGAGUGUAGAUUCACUCAUUUUGCUCCAUAUGUAGUCACUUGUUGAAAUCUCUAAAAAACAAAUAUUUACGAACGGAGGGAGUAGAAAACAGAGUUGGUGAUGAUGGUGUGCAUGCCAUCCCGCAAUAUAGGCCGUCGGAUUUAUAUCUAACGGAUAGGAAGAAAACUAUGGCAAUUUUGCAAAAAAUAUACCCACACCCCUCUCCACGUUCGCAAAUACGGCCUUCUCUCGUUCACCUUUUCUAUCACAAGAUAAACUACUCAUACAAAUGCAUCUUGAUGUUCCGUGCAACGCACGGGCAUCUAGCUAGUUUCUUUUAAAAUAGUUACUGCGAUAAUUGGGUUGAAGUGAUAUAUUUUAUGUGUGCCCCGAAUGAUUUCGGACUCACUAGUAGUAACAAAGAAAAGGUUGCCUUGUUAAUUAACAGAAAACAGGGUGAAAACUAUCACAUGAGGCCGGUAAAAACGAGGCACAUUGGGUUCAGCGUCAUCGUCACUACAGCUGUGCGCCCGCGAGAAGUCUACAUAUCGAGGGGGCUACUGAGCGAGGCACAGAGACACAAUGUUCGAGAGAGAAACCAAUUGACAGAUUACGAUCAUAUUGAGUUGUCACCCUUCUGCUGUCAUUGUUGGGGNNNNNNNNNNNNNNNNNNNNNNNNNNNNNNNNNNNNNNNNNNNNNNNNNNNNNNNNNNNNNNNNNNNNNNNNNNNNNNNNNNNNNNNNNNNNNNNNNNNNNNNNNNNNNNNNNNNNNNNNNNNNNNNNNNNNNNNNNNNNNNNNNNNNNNNNNNNNNNNNNNNNNNNNNNNNNNNNNNNNNNNNNNNNNNNNNNNNNNNNNNNNNNNNNNNNNNNNNNNNNNNNNNNNNNNNNNNNNNNNNNNNNNNNNNNNNNNNNNNNNNNNNNNNNNNNNNNNNNNNNNNNNNNNNNNNNNNNNNNNNNNNNNNNNNNNNNNNNNNNNNNNNNNNNNNNNNNNNNNNNNNNNNNNNNNNNNNNNNNNNNNNNNNNNNNNNNNNNNNNNNNNNNNNNNNNNNNNNNNNNNNNNNNNNNNNNNNNNNNNNNNNNNNNNNNNNNNNNNNNNNNNNNNNNNNNNNNNNNNNNNNNNNNNNNNNNNNNNNNNNNNNNNNNNNNNNNNNNNNNNNNNNNNNNNNNNNNNNNNNNNNNNNNNNNNNNNNNNNNNNNNNNNACACUUACAUAUCCCUACUCUUAUAAAAACAGAGUUGGUGAUGAUGGUGUUCCUGCCAUCCUGCAAUAUAGGCCAUCCGAUUUAUACCCGACGGAUAGGAAGGAAACUGUGGCAAUUUUUCAAAAAGAUACCCACACCCCUCUCCGCAUUUGCAAAUAAGGCAUUCCCUCGUUCAUCCUUUUCUCCCACAAGAUAAACUACUCAUACAAAUGCAUCUUGAUGUUCGGUGCAACGCAUGGGCAUCUUGCUAGUAGGGAGAAGGAGUUUGUGUGACACAUAUCUAGCUAUAUUAAUGGAUAGGUAGAUAGCAUUUGUGCGAGGCAUACUUAAAGCAUCACGAAGAUAAACAAAAUUGUGUGCAUGCAAGUGCCAGAAAAAAUGAAGCGAGAAACAAUGUGUGGGAGAGAGAGAGCGAAAUCUCAAAACAAAAGGUGCUCUGUUGGAAUCCCAUUGUAUGUAUUCAUAUGGUUCCGGAACUUGAGUUAACCUUAGGCAUAUGUGUGAGAGACAUUAUUAUACUUUGAGACAUUAGUAGCUGUGGGUGGGCGGAAUUAAAGGGGUGGGCGUGUUCGACAGAGAGAGCGUGUGUGUUUCUGUGUGAGAGACUUGUAGGACGGGGUAGAAAGACGAAUUCUAACCUUGACGGAGGGAGAGAAAUACACGAAGUGCGCGUGUGUAAUUCCGAUGACCACAGGGAAAUGAGAUAUGUAUGCGUGUGAGAGAGAUUGCACAAUUCAUUCACGUAUCACUAUCUAGCGAUCGUAGCGUGCAUCGCUUGAACAUAAAUCAAUAUCUACUUCGUAUCGUGGCCAAAGGUACAAUAUCGAUUCAACGCUAUAAAGAUUGGACACUCACAUAUCACAUUUUUUCUAUUUAAAUAAAACCUUUUCAGUUGUGCAUGCCAAAGUUAUAGUGAUGUUUCUUCAAACAACCAAUGUAGCUAUCAUGUACAUGCACCAUUGUUACUCUUGCAUUCAAAAUCAUUAUUCUUGGAUGAUUUAAGGUUCUAUUAUAAAGUAAUAUAUGUAAUAUUCAUAUAUGAAUUCAACGGGUACGCAAUUUAUGAAAUGGAGGCUAUGUAAUCAUAUGAGGUAACACUUUUAAGUAGCGGACUACAAUAUCCAUUUCUUUUUGUGCGCCUCUACACUAACACGUCAAUGCAUUAUGUUUAAAGUAAAUAACCAAUUGCACUAAAUUAUCUAUUUACACGAGAAAUACAUAGGCUGAGCGUUUGAUCCCUUUUUUGUGAACGCGCCACUAUACCCGUACGAUUGGCCGCGCCUGUGUCAACGUCCAAGUUAUCGGCGCAUCAUCCCGAGUUAUUGUCUUUUUUCUGGGGUGGACACACCAGUUAUUAACUGCUGACGCGUGCCCCGUGUACACAGUCUCGCAUGACCUUCCCGCUAGCACGGUCCAAAAUUAGUUGAAACUGGAUACGAACGAUCCCACGGGCGGCAAAAUCUCCCGCCUCCUUCUAAAAUUUCCGCCACCUUAGUCUUUAGCAUGCGAAAUUCCCCUUUUGUCCUUGGUGCACGGAGACCAACAGUUACAAUACCGCCCUCAUCUACAUAAUCGGUCGGGGCUGCUUUGGUAACUUCCGGUUCCCCCCACUACACGGCACCCCCAUUUCCUCUCCCCCUCCCGCAAAAACGACUAACUCCACAGCACCAGAGCAUCUCACAUCACGCCGUCCGUACUUCNNNNNNNNNNNNNNNNNNNNNNNNNNNNNNNNNNNNNNNNNNNNNNNNNNNNNNNNNNNNNNNNNNNNNNNNNNNNNNNNNNNNNNNNNNNNNNNNNNNNNNNNNNNNNNNNNNNNNNNNNNNNNNNNNNNNNNNNNNNNNNNNNNNNNNNNNNNNNNNNNNNNNNNNNNNNNNNNNNNNNNNNNNNNNNNNNNNNNNNNNNNNNNNNNNNNNNNNNNNNNNNNNNNNNNNNNNNNNNNNNNNNNNNNNNNNNNNNNNNNNNNNNNNNNNNNNNNNNNNNNNNNNNNNNNNNNNNNNNNNNNNNNNNNNNNNNNNNNNNNNNNNNNNNNNNNNNNNNNNNNNNNNNNNNNNNNNNNNNNNNNNNNNNNNNNNNNNNNNNNNNNNNNNNNNNNNNNNNNNNNNNNNNNNNNNNNNNNNNNNNNNNNNNNNNNNNNNNNNNNNNNNNNNNNNNNNNNNNNNNNNNNNNNNNNNNNNNNNNNNNNNNNNNNNNNNNNNNNNNNNNNNNNNNNNNNNNNNNNNNNNNNNNNNNNNNNNNNNNNCCCUACCGGAGCCGCUUCGCCGACAACAUCGUCAACCCCACCGGAGUAGCUUCGCCUAUACCAUUUUCAACCCUACCGGGGCCGCUUUGCCAACUCACAAGUCCACGGCCUCAGAUCCGCUUCCUCGCACCCUCAUCCAACCUACCGGAGCAACUUCUGACGCCCCGUCCACGGCCGCAGAUCCGCAUCGUCGACACCAUCCUUAACCCAACCACCGGAGCAGCUUCACCUACGCCCUCGUCCACGGCCACAGAUCCGCUUCGCCCACACCGUGGUCCACCCUACCGGAGCCGCUCCACAAACACCCUACUCGACGGUUCUAGAUCUCCCUACCGGACCCCAACAGUCAGCGGCGCGUCAUCACCCUUGACGUUUCUAACAUGAUUCCCACCGUCUGGCAAGAUGCCAAGCACCCGCCACGGCCUAGGUACUUGUCACCUUUAAACCCGUCCAGCAUCACCUGCCCGAUGUACUUCAAAUAUACUAACAGGUCGCUGUUACCUGUUAUGCAGUUUGCAAAAACUACAAGGACGAUGUUUCUUCUGGAUCUAACAGCUUGGCCAACCAAGAUCCUGGACCGAGGCAUUGCUAUGAUCUUGUAAGCGUGUCUCUCUCUCUCUUGUAUUGUUUUGUGCCUGCCAGCGUGCUUUGCUAGGAUUUUCGACCAGUAAUCCCUUUGUGCAGACAAUGAUUUCUACUACUGGCUGCUAAAUUAGGUAUGUAGAUGUCAUACAUGAUACUACCUCGUACCUCUGUUCCUAAAUAUAAGUCUUUCUAGAGAUUCCACUAUAGGCUACAUACGGAGGAAAAUGAGUGAAUCUACACUCGAAAAUGCAUCUAUAUAUAUCUGUAUGUGGUCCAUACUGGAAUCUCUACAUAGACAUAUAUUUAGGAACAGAGGCAGUACAUUACACAAAAUCGUAGGUGGCAUGUAGGAAUUCCAGUACACUACAUUAGGCUCCCUUAGAGUGCCUGCUAGUCCAGCACACAGAGUCAUGGCUAGUUUAUGCUACGCACACAAUCAUUAAUUGGUGGUUUAAAUAUGCGCAAGGGAUAUGCAAUGUAUUAUCAUGUAGAGAUGUCUAAAAUUAGCCGUGCCAACUUGCAGAUUGGGUUACACAAUGAAAAAGUACAAGAUGUAUGUGGCAAUUUCAUGGAACAUCGCAAAAAAAGGAGAGCCAGUGAUGAGCCUAUACAGUGUGCUAUGGUACGUCACUCCUCCAUUGCAAUCAUCGUGACAUGUUAUUUGUAUGUCAGUUCUAUUGGCCAAGUUUCUUAGGGACGGUUAUUACGAGUUAUCCUAAGAAAAUAAGCACCUGUGAAUAUAAGCUCCAUGUAAUAAGCAACCAGUUCUUUUCAUUGCGUUUUCAGCUUAUCUUUGGUAUGAUAAGUGAAAAGUCUAGAUUGCAUUAUAUUUUUUUAUUUUGCUGCCCAUAUGAAAAUUAAUUUGACUUGCAAACAUCACAAAUUGAACUCAGUGCAGUAAUUAAUAUGAUAGGAAAACAGACCAUCACUAUUUGCUCAAAAUGCAAAUACAAAGAUACCAUCUACUUGGCAUAAUCUACUUUGGUCAAUGUUCUCCAUAGAGAUCCCAUUGCCUAAUUUAAAUGAAAAACGCAUGACCCACAUUUAAAUGAAGAACAAUUAUUUAUUGAAAUUCGAUGGUCCAAGUGGUUGGUUAUUAUCAUAUAGCAGCGCUACCUGAAAGCAUCAUAUAGCAGCAGCAGCUCAUAGCAACUCAUCAUACAGCAGCAGCAGCAGCAACAACAGCAGUGUGCUAUUCAUCAUAUACCAGCAGCAGCUCAUAGCAAUUCAUCAUAUAGCAGCAGCAGGAGCAGCUCAUAGCAAUUCAUCAUAUAGCAGCAGCAGGAGCAGCUCAUAGCAAUUCAUCAUAUAGCAUCAGCAGGAGCAGCUCAUAGCAAUUCAUCAUACAGCAGCAGCAGGAGCAGCUUAUAGCAACUCANNNNNNNNNNNNNNNNNNNNNNNNNNNNNNNNNNNNNNNNNNNNNNNNNNNNNNNNNNNNNNNNNNNNNNNNNNNNNNNNNNNNNNNNNNNNNNNNNNNNNNNNNNNNNNNNNNNNNNNNNNNNNNNNNNNNNNNNNNNNNNNNNNNNNNNNNNNNNNNNNNNNNNNNNNNNNNNNNNNNNNNNNNNNNNNNNNNNNNNNNNNNNNNNNNNNNNNNNNNNNNNNNNNNNNNNNNNNNNNNNNNNNNNNNNNNNNNNNNNNNNNNCAUCAUAUAGCAGCAGCAGCUCAUAGCAAUUCAUCAUAUAGCAGAAGCAGCUCAUAGCAAUUCAUCAUAUAGCAGUAGCAGGAGCAGCUCAUAGCAAUGCAUCAUAUAGCAGCAGCAGAAGUAGCUCAUAGCAAUUCAUCGUAUAGUGGAUCAAAAUGAAAAUUUGGCAAAAAAUCAGAGGAGAUCCUCACCUUGUUGGAUGAGCUCAUCCUUCAACGGCACCUCAAGGCCACGGCCUGGGAGGUGGGGAGAGGGAAUAAGGUGCCUUCUGCCGCAGUGUGGCAUCAGCCAUAGUUGUGCAGCGCCUGCCGGAGUAGUGCGUUGGACGAACCACAGUGGAGCAGCUGCUGGAGACCAUGAGAAUGAGGGGCGGCACCAGAGGGAGGAGCAUCCAGGGAGAUUUGCCCCUACCCGCCGGCCAUGUAGCCUAGCUGGACAGAGCAUCGUCGGGGACCAGGCCAGAUGGGACCAGUGGCGACGGCUUGCUGGAGGAACCCUAGUGCUGCAGGCAGGGGAUCGAGGUAGAGGGAAAGGGGAGAGGAGAUGCAAGCGGGCAGGGCAAUGAACGCUUGCGUGAUUGUUUUUACUUGAAUAGGCAGACAACCGAGUCAUUUCACUAUUCCCCUUCCCUUCAAUUUUUAGUGAGGUUCUACCCGAAACAUCCCCCUCCAAAGCGAAAUUAGUUAAGCCCAGCCCAUAACUCAAAAAUGACUUCUUUACAUCUUUUAUGGCUUAUUUUGACAAUAAGCCCUGAAAAGGCGGAAUAGAACUGGCCCUUAACCUGCAAUUCAAUUAUGCGUGCAAUGAUGAAUCACUCCUGCCUGCUAUAGCGUACAUUUAGGCAUCAUCAUACAUGGCAUAACCUAAUACAUGUGCAUUCCAUUGUAGAAUCUGGAAUAUGCAAUGUUUAUGUUAGUUCAUAUGUUGCACAUGAUGUUUAAAUGCCCCUUAAAUCUGGUCAGUCAAGUGAUGGUCUCUAAGCCUCCUUCUUUGCUUCUUUUCUUGAUAUGUAAGAUUUGCUCACACAUCUGUUCAAUUGCUUGUUUGCAUCAGCCAGCCAUACUAGGACUGUUUGCUUUGAUUACUUGAUGUUCUUGACCUAACACUCUAACAGAGCUUGUCAACGAUUUAAACACUAAGGGCUGCUGUAGUGGGGCCUUUUCUAACUGAUAGGUGACAUAAAGGUUUGGUUGUACACUAAAGUAGGCUCUCCAAGAGUACCUGGAGAUCCAGUUCGAAGGUAUGCCUAGUUUUUACAUAGUGCAGACAUAAUAAAUUCUCAUUUCAUUGUGUGCAAGUGCAAGAGAUGCGGCAUGUUUCAUUAUGUGGUGUUGUUUUGUUAUAAUCUCAUCCUUUUAUGUUCACAGACUGGAAAGUAAGGGGGUGCAAUGAAGAUAAGAUUGAAGAUUUCCAAGUACAAGAUGUUAGGAAGGAGCCUUGCAAGAGAAGUAGGAGCUGCGCUGAGCCUCUUCAACCUGUUAAGGUAAGUCACUGCAUCCAACUCAACAGUUCAAUUCCUUGUUUGUUUCAGGCAUAGUUAAUUUGCUCUUUUCAAUUGCUUUAUUUGUCCUCAGUUAAUGAGAUGCCCAAAGAAUGAUGCCUGAUGUUGGGUACUUGUAUAACUAUUAGUUGACAUAAUUAAAGGUCUUAUCAUUUAAUUACUCUGCCGAAGUGUGCCUGAACCUUUGAAGUCUAUUAACCAACUAUUAUUGAAUGAGGCUCACAAUCUAGUUUAUACUAGGCUAAUGAUUGCAUAGUUUUGCUUGCUGUAGUAUGUUUGUAUGAAAUCCUCUGCUGUUCAUUAUGCUCCCUAAGACUUUAAUUGAGCUACAGAAUGGCCAACUGCUUGCUUACUUCUACCCAACGUGCUAUCUAAAUUUGUAACUUGUCUGUGUUUUGGAUUGAGCCCCAACAUCAUGCUCCUCUGGUGAGCUAAGAGAGAUUUUCAUAUGCAGGCUGCACAGACUACCUUUUUUAUAAUUUUUAAAAUAUCACCUGCUUAUGCUUCAUGACGUGUAACAUUAUUGUUAGUCCUGUUUUGCCAUGUACAAAAUAGCCUAUCUUGCUCGCUUCACUGUUGUAACUAUAUUUUUGCCCUAGUCAUGUGUACUUACAGACACAUUUCAGGAUGAAGUGGCAUCAACACAAAGAUCUGCGAGCAGUGCGGCAUGGCCGUUACCGAAUGAUUAUGGAUUGGAAUUGGAAUGUGCUGAUGUUCUCGAGCAUCAACUAGAGGUGGCAAGACAACGUGUACAUGAUUCUAAACGUACAAUCAACAAGUUGAGACUGGACAUGCAGGUAUUAGAUGCAGGAGUCAAAAAAUGAAAUAAGACACUGAGGUAACAACGAAGGAAUUGGAGAUUUUGCAGACUGAAAUUUGUGCUAUCUAAAUCCGGCCAAUCCUAUUUUCUGAAGAGAUUAUAGUUCAAAUGGUAAGUUAUGUUGAUGCGCGUCCAUGAUGUAUGAGCUGUAUUUGCCCAGUGUAUGUAAUUUGUUGUUUGUGUAUGCUUUAUUAUCACCGGUGCCGAACCAUAAUGCCCAGUGGGUAUAAUCGGCUGUAAUUUCUUUAUUGUAUAGUGUAGGAUUAUUCUACGUUUCUAUGCCUUAGUCUCUUUAUUGUAUAGCGUAUGUUUUUUAGAGGUGAUAGUAUAGAGUAGGAUAAUUCUUUGAAUAUGCUAUAUCGUUCAAACGGGGGCCAACUCGCCCAAACGUUGUAGUGACCAUGACCCUCCAUAGGUCGUACGUUCCAUGGGCCAUCUACGGGACGGACGAUCCCUGGCCUUCUGUGGUCGUCGGAUUCGUGGGCCUUCUAUGGGCUGUUGGAUCCGUGGGCCUUCUAUCGGCUGUCGGAUCCAUGGGCCAGCGGAUCCAUGGGCCGUCGGAUCAAUGGGCCGUCGGGUCAAUGGGCCUUCUACGGGCCGUCUCAUCUAUGGGCCUUGUACGGGCCGUAUAAGGGGCCGUAAACGGGCUAGAGUGGAAAUCGUAUGUUUUAUGGGCUGACCAUAACGGGUCGUUAAUCGUCCGUAUUUGAUGAUGCUAUGAAAAUGGCCCAACAGAUUAACGGGCCACAAAUGGGUCGACUGUAUCCACGGGCUGAAUUUGGCCCACAAGCAGAAAAGGCCUGUAACGGGCCGUAAGUAAACGAAUGCUGGAAAUGAGCCCAAGAAUAAAUGGGCCUUGAAAAGGCCGAAAGAUAACAUGGGCUGGAAACGGCCCAACGGUAUAAUGGGCCAUUAAUGGGUAUAAAGUGAUACAUUGUUCAUUAUGGGCCAGUUUUACCAUGGGCCGUUAAUGGGCCGAGGGUUACUAAGGGCCUCAUAUGGGCCGAAAGACGUCAUGGGCCAUGCAUGGGUCGGAAGUUAAAACGGGCUGGAAUUAUAUUAGACGGCCUAGAUGACGCUACUGGGCCUAAUUCGGAUAGGCCGUAAACGGGCCCUGGGUUAGCGGGCUGUAAAUGGGCUAUAUGCGAACAGGCCGUUAACAGGCUUGCCGUGGGCCGGCCCGCCACCUUUUGACCAAGUCAAACGGGUCGGCCUUUUCACAUGAAUGGGCCUCUAUUGGGCCGUGCCACGUGUCAACAUAUCAUAGGCGCUUUGGGUCCAAUGAGUGGAUGACAUCUGUCCCAACGACGAGCUGACACGUGUUCCCUCCAGCCAAUGAUGAUUUUACACAUGGAAAAUCCCCAUUGGUCGAGGCUGUUAACGGGUUAUCGGAUCCAAAACCGGACCCGAUAGCUUAACGGCGUUCCCUUACGUUGGAUGCCACGUGUCGGUCACCCUUGACGAAAGCACUUCUGUGACGCGCGAUUUAUCGUCAUGGAAGUGGACACUUCCGUGAUGAUAAUUUUGGUAAUGUCAUGGAACACUUCUACGACAGCACAGGUAUGACUAUCUUGAUUCUGUCAUAAAUUUGUCAUGGAUGUACAUGCAUGACAGAAAACGUGACCUACUGUGGCAAACACGUAUCAUCACGGAAGUGUAUUUUUUUGUAGUGUCCCGAACAAAAUGAAUGUCAAGCUCGAUGUGUUUGGUGCGACAGUGCUGAACCGGGUUAGCGGAUAAGUAGACCGCACUGACGUUGUCGCAAUAUACGAUAGUAGCACUCGAGAUUGGCCUGUGAGGCUCCUGUAAUAAUUGACGAACCCAGCAAGACUCUGCAACGACCGCAUCAACUGCUCUAUAUUCAGCCUCUGCGCUAGAACGAGAGACCGUUGUCUGUCAACGUGAGGACCAUGAGAUGAGAUUAUUGCCAAGAUACAUGCAAAACCCGGAAGUCGAGCGACGUGUGUCCGGACAUCCAGCCCAAUCGGAUAGGCAAGGACGCCAAGGUGCUCUGUAGCCGUCGUAGGAUAGGACUCUUAACAGUCAGGUUGCAAGGAGACUUGUUUAGAUGCAGCCAACGUUGUGUGAGUUGCCAGAACUCCGUAAUCACAUAUACCCAGUGCAGUCCAAUCAUCCAUCUUUGAUCGUAACUGCGUCUGCAACUGAGAUAUUCUUGCACUGCGAAAGCUUGAAAAUGCCGGGGGGCAGAGAAUCAUACAGCCUUGUCAUCGAGCCCGUGGUCAUCCAGAAGCUCAUACACAUGCCAUUGCCAACCAUGACAUAAGUAGAGGUCGAGAAGAGUGCCAAAUCAUCUUUGCACAGAGGAUGGGAGAACCAACCCAAGGUUUGUCAUUAUCAAUCUGGUCAAGUCACUACCGGCGGAGUCGUAGGGCACGUCCAAAUCGUGAGAUCCAACACACGUAACCCUCCAAGAUUUUAGGACGACACAGUUCUACAUGAUUUAACUUACGCUCUGAACCCCGCAGCUUCGUGGCUCAAGUGUUGGCUGAGUCCCCGCUAGUGCUGCUGUUUCGUCGGGAACUCACUGGCUCGGAGACGGCAAGUUUGGGAAACUUGUUGUCUCUCCUGGAAGGCGUCGUGCUAACCCAAGGCCCGGACAUAGUGUCGUGGCGCCUCAACGCCUCCGGCAAGUUUUCCGUAAACUCACUUUACCGAGCUCUCGCUAGGGGCACCCACCAGCAAGUAGCGUCAGGGCUUUGGAGGGCACGGCUUCCCCUCAAAAUCAAGGUUUUCUUUUGGCAACUGUGUUGUGACAAGUUGCCCACUUCUGUGAACAUCGCCAAACGCAACGGGCCGUCCAACGGGGCAUGCACGGUGUGCGGGGAGCCCAAAACAGCUAACCACGUGUUCUUCCAAUGCCACUUGGCCCGGUUUGCGUGGAGUGCGGUCCGGGAGGCCGCUGGCCGGAAUUGGGAUCCUAGGUCAUGUUCUGAGUUAUGCGCUCUCCUGUCGUUGGUCUCUGGUUCCGCUAGACGUGUCAUGUGGUGCUGUGUGGGGGCAUUACUUUGGGCACUUUGGCGCAUUAGGAACAAACUUACGAUCGAGGGCGUCUUUCCCUCACAUCCUGCUGAUGUUAUCUUGAAAUGUGCUAUCUUUUUGCAGCAAUGGGCAUCGCUGGGAAGGCGUCAAGACGCUGAUCUUCUGCAGCUCGCUCUGGCCCGUCUCCGUCAGGUCUACACUUUGGUUAGAGCUCCUGCGCCGCAACCGUAGAGUUUGGUGGCACCUUUUGGUAUCGUUACUACGAGCCUGCGUGCUCUGUUCUAGCCGUCCGCGGCAUGUAAUCCUAGACGUGUUGUAAGACUUUAUUCGUGUGCACGCUGCCUGUUGUGGGCUUUAUUAAGUUAAAGCCAGACACGCCGAGCGUCUUCGUUCAAAAAAAAUUAACUUACGCUAUACUCCCUCCAUUCCAAAAUGGUUUUAGUUCAAAUUAGUGUUGUUUACCCGGGUGAUCUCUCAAUGUGAGGGCACCGGAUGAAGACCUUUGUCCAGUGCGGACUCGGCAGCGGCGACGCUCUGCGCCGUUCUCGUAGCAUAGAGGUGUUUAGUUCUCUCAGUGCUCAUUACUGGUAGCGUAGUCACAUGCGUUCUACGUGCGCUCGAUAUCUCAAGAUCAUCUUUGUAAGAGGGUUACCUCACUGUGUUAUAUCAUUCGGGCAUGUACAUCUUUGGAUGUUGAUUUAUUCAUAAAGUGGGGCGAAAGCCUAUUUCGAAAGAAAGUGUUUACCUUAUUUACACAUUCCAGACAUGUCAGGACAUAAAUUCUAGCGUUGUUUACCCUUAUUUACAUGUUUCAAAACCUGUAGAAAUAUGUGCAACCCAUUGUAACUUGGUUAAGAACACAAAAGCCCAUUACCGUGCCGUGUGAGCACAAACCGUACGUAACCAGCUUAUGGAUUUCUCUUGGCACAUACGACAGGAUCUCAAUCUCCCUCUUUUUUUUUCCUUAAUUGAAAUUGUGUGUACUUAGCAAAAAUUAGAAUCGCACACACAAAAAAAUCAAAUGAAGCUGAAUUAAAAUAAGUUAAAAAUUAGGAAAUAUGUUUCACAAUAUCUUAGGUUUUCCGUUAUUUGAGUUAAAAAGCGGUCAUAUUUUCACCGACAGACUCACACACAUCGCAGAACGUGAACCUGUCGCAUCCUUUUUGGCCUUAUGAGCGGACGUUCGCUUGAUGAUGCAAUAAAUAUUACUCCCUCGUAAUAUAAAAAAAAAAUAUUAUGGAACCAAGAGAGUAGUUAUGAGUGCAGUCCUCAUAAACCAAAGUGGAGAGAGAAGUCAACAUACAGUGUUCUACAAAUGGAAAAACAAAACUUUAAUAUAUACUUUUUUGUUCACAUAAAACCAUAAUAAUGCAACCAGAUGAUCAGAUGUUAAGUGCUGAAAUUUUAGCUAAGCAACUAAAGAAUCUUUGUGGAAUUGAACCACCUUCCAUCUGGGAUUUGAGCAUAUGCCCCGGAUCCACAGAGAAUCUCUCCUGACAGAAAGAUCCAUGACGAAAAGGGAAGAUAAUACUUGUUGCUUAUUACUCCCACCAUUCCAAAAUACAAUGUAUGGUUUACUAUUGAACAAGAUUAUAGAUUAAAUAUCAUCAUCUUAAUUUUAAUAAAUAAAAAUACUUUUCAUGACGAUCUAAUGAUGCAAAUAUGAAGAUUUUCAUGCAAAAGAAGAAACCUUAUAUUUUGGGUUUACUAACAUAAUUUGGGUCAGAUUUUCACCAUGAUUUUAACUAAUAAGAUACUGCCUCAAUCCAAUAUAACUGUCGUGCUUUAUAAAAAGCUUAAAAUAAAUCAACUUCACUUAUUUUGGGACCGAUAGAGUAUAAGUCAUAUAGCAAAAAUAAAUUGACACUACAUCAAUUCAAAUAUAAUUUGGUGAAAGGCAUUAAGACAAACAUAUGGUCAAAUUUUUGACCCAAAAUAAGAUAAGGACUAAUAAACCCAGAAUGAGGUAGUGUUGUGGAGCGGUAAAUUUCAUAUUUUGGGUCAGAUUUUGACCAUGAAUUUAACUGAUAAAAUACUCCCUCCAUCCUAUAUAAGUGCCACUGCUUUAUAAUAAAUAAAGAAUUUAAUAAAUCAACUACACUUAUUUUGGGACUGAGGGAGUAUAGGUUAUACAUAGCAAACAUAAAUUGAAACCACAUUCAAAUACAUUCAACAAUAUAAUUUGAUGACAUGCAUUAAGACCAACAUAUGAUCAAAUUUUGACCCAAAAUACGACAAGGAGUAAUAAACCCAGAAUGAGGUAGUAUUGUGUAGCACCCAGCGUAUAUAAAUUUCAUAUUUUCAGUCGGAUUUUGACCAUGAACUUAACUUAUAAAAUACUCCAUCCAAUAAGUGUCGUUGCUUUACAAAUUAUAAAAACUUGAAAUAAAUCGACUACACUUGGACUGAGAGAGUAUAGGUUAUACAAAGCAAACAUAAAAUGAAGCUACAUUCAAAUACAAAUUCAACAAUAUAAUUUUGUGACAUGCAUUAAGACAAACAUAUGGUCAAAUUUUGACCCGAAAUACUACAAAGACUAAUAAACAUUAGCAGUUGCUGCGGCAACUACCAUUGCAGAUCAGUUCAAGAUCUAGUCCAGAUAUAACUGGUAAAUGGCUGAAAAUUAUCUGCGCGUACCAAUCAACAACUAUGUAGUACAAUAAACUAACUGCACAAGAUCCUCAAAAUUAUGUGUGCCCAACUGGACAAAAACACAACUAAAACUCAUUGCUGACAGAUAUAUUAAAACUGAAAAAAUAAGUUCAGAAGAUUGAAAAUAGACUUGCUCAAUAUGAAAUUAUGUGUGGGAUAUAUGGAAUGUAAUAUUUGAACUAAAACUAACCACUGACUAAAUGCAGAAGAAUCAAAUAGCACAUAAUUUACUGGAGUACAUCUUAACCAGUUUCUCGAAGUCUGCUGAGCCUAUGAUGACCAGAAUUGAGGUCCACGUUUAGAUUCUUCUGCUGCAGGGUGCUUCUUCAUAAAUAUGAUGUCCACAUCCAGGGAAGAUAGCUGUAGAUUUAAUUUCUGGACUAUACAAUCCCAUCAUAAAGCUAUUCAGGAGAGCAGACAAACAUAUGAACAUUGUACAUUGUACAUCUCAAAUUGAAAUAGAGACCACGAUCAAAUUGUGAUCAUUGUACAUCUCAAGAGAGCAGACAAACAUAUGAACACAAAUUUAGAAAAAAUAACAACCCUUGAUAUAUAUACCAUAUUCUGGGGAAAAAUAGAAAACAAAACGAUUUGGCCUUCUGUUUAGACUGCCGAUUGUUAUUUAAGUUCAAAUUUGAGCUGUGAUAUGAUAGCAGAUUCAACAGCGAAUCAGACAAAUGAUUUCACUACAACUACGAGACUGAGAGUAACUUAAACGGGUUCAAGUGAUCACGAAUUCCUCCGUGUAAACAAGCUCAGAACAGAAUUACAAUUUACGAGAGCAGUACUUUGUCUCAAGUUUAUGUAUGCUUCAGCUGUAGAUUAUCGAUUGUACCUUUGGUUUGUAGCUCCUUGAUCGAUUCGCGACGGUAGAACGUUGUGCCAGGAAGAUUGGAUCGGACGAGAGGUGCAGACAAAGGAGCACACCAGGACACGGUGGGGGGAGACCCCGGGGCUGAAACAGAAAAAUCCCCGUGCGAUCUCCCCCCGGACACAAGAACCAUCUUUAUUACGGUGGUGGCCUGCCAUGCGAGCGCACCCAACAUGGCAAAGGCCUCUAGGUGUCACAUCUCUCUCUUUUUUCACUCCUUUUUCCCUCUUGGCACGAUCACCUCGCUUGUUACAUGCUCUUACCUCCGAUCUCUUAGAUCUAAUAAUUAUCGAGAUAUCAUCGGAUAAUUAUCAAUACAAGAGCCGCCGUCGCGCGAGGCGGAGAAGACGGGAUCCCCACGUGCAUGCCGGAGAAGACGCCUUCCUCGCCGCAGGGUCAACCCGAGACCACCGGGAACCCCCAGAUCCGCCGCGGGCCAUCAGAUCUACGAGUCAUACCGGCACGGAAAGUCAGGCAAGACGGAUCUACGGCUCAAUCACGCGGUGGAGACGAUCUCAGCGGGGGAAAAUACUCACAGGUAACAGAUCUGACUCGCCGGACGGGCAGACCGGAAGAUGCAGCCGCCUCGCAACUCGCUCCAAGAUCGCCGCAAGCCCAGCCCGUCGAUCGACGAGGAACCUGCGAACCAGAGAGCACACGGGGGUUUCGCGGGAAAAAUCAUGGUAGCCAGACUCACGGGCUCACCUUGCCGAGAUGGAGGUAGUUGUGGUUGGGAGGAGGAGGCGGGUUCUUCUCUAUAUCAAGGAUCUGAUCUAGUGUAUAGGGGGAGGGAAAAAGGUUGCGUGUCGCAGAGGAGAACGCGGCGGCUUUGUUGGUGGUCUGCUCAGAGUCGG